UUGCCAGAUACUUGUUAAGUUAAGGAUGCUCGCUCCUCUCGUUUUAGAAUUUUUGCCAGAUAUUCGUUAAGUUAAGGAUGCUCGCUCCUCUUGUUUAAGAUUUUUUGCCAGAUAUUCGAAAUCCUCUGGUUUUAUCCAUGUAGUGCCCAUUAACCCCUACAUUGAUUGCUUCGUCGUCUUACUCGCAUUCUUCAUAACAGACUUAGCUUUUUUUUUUUUUUUUUACAAUUAUACAUUCUUAUUGAUGAUGCACGCUGUUCCCCGGUGUAAUUUUGUUUUGAAAUCGAAAUUAAAGAAACGCAAUGUGUGAAAAUACGGUGAAUUGUACCUCAAUUUAUGCAAUUCCGCUAAGAAGCCCAUUCGUUUUUAAAUGGCCACCGAAAAACGUCGGUAGCAAAAUAGAAAAAGGAAAUUUAUUUUGGAAAGAAUACUGAUAGAAUUUUGCGGGGAUGGGAGGGAGGGGACCAACCGUACAAGCAGACGUAUAAACUCAGACAGAAAAUGGUUUCGGUUUGCAUAGAAUGAAAAAAGAAGGGUAGUUGAACUUGGCUAUUUGGCCGUAUAACUUUCCCUAUGUUUCAAGUGUAAACUGUAUUUAAAAUUUAUUGGACUGUACAGAAGAAGUCCGAUAUGGUUUCGGAAGCUUGUUUAAAAUAAACUACUAGCAUUUUUAUCGUAACAGUCUAUACAGGACAGCAACAUCGGAAUAAGAAGAAAGUUAACAAAGGCUUAAACAUAUGUGAUGUCAACACUAAAUGUCUACUCGGUUGGGACGAAAUAAAAUUAAAUCAUUCAGAUCCCGUUACAUAUUUU
This 813-nucleotide long non-coding RNA is filed under the name Mytilus galloprovincialis (Mediterranean mussel). The record is from RNAcentral. Lineage: Eukaryota; Metazoa; Mollusca; Bivalvia; Mytilida; Mytilidae.